UACGGAGGGUGCGAGCGUUGUUCGGAAUCACUGGGCGUAAAGGGCGUGUAGGCGGUCCGCUAAGUCUGAUGUGAAAGCCCGGGGCUCACCCCCGGAAGUGCAUUGGAAACUGGCGGACUCGAGUCCCGGAGAGGAGGGUGGAAUUCCUGGUGUAGCGGUGAAAUGCGUAGAUAUCAGGAGGAACACCGGUGGCGAAGGCGGCCCUCUGGACGGUGACUGACGCUGAGACGCGAAAGCGUGGGGAGCAAACAGG
RNAcentral lists this ribosomal RNA (253 nucleotides) under uncultured bacterium. Its description in RNAcentral is "partial 16S ribosomal RNA". It matches the Rfam family "Bacterial small subunit ribosomal RNA", at positions 524 to 776 of the family's 1533-position model. The record is from RNAcentral.